Pongo abelii (Sumatran orangutan) is the source of this 82-nucleotide non-coding RNA. Lineage: Eukaryota; Metazoa; Chordata; Mammalia; Primates; Hominidae. The record is from Rfam.
GGUAGUGUGGCCGAGCGGUCUAAGGCGCUGGAUUUAGGCUCCAGUCUCUUCGGGGGCGUGGGUUCGAAUCCCACCACUGCCA